This 88-nucleotide transfer RNA is filed under the name Cellvibrionales bacterium. Its description in RNAcentral is "tRNA-Leu". It matches the Rfam family "tRNA". Rfam says of the family: Transfer RNA (tRNA) molecules are approximately 80 nucleotides in length. Their secondary structure includes four short double-helical elements and three loops (D, anti-codon, and T loops). Lineage: Bacteria; Pseudomonadati; Pseudomonadota; Gammaproteobacteria; Cellvibrionales. The record is from RNAcentral.
GCCCGGAUGGUGGAAUUGGUAGACACAGGAGACUUAAAAUCUCCCGAUCGCACAGAUCGUGCCGGUUCAACUCCGGCUCCGGGCACCA